AACGUAGGACGCAAGCGUUAUCCGGAGUUACUGGGCGUAAAGCGCGGGCAGGCGGUGCUUCAAGUCCGAUGUGAAAGCUCCCGGCUUAACCGGGAGAGGCCAUUGGAAACUGGAGGACUGGAGGGCAGUAGAGGUAGGCGGAAUUCCGGGUGGAGUGGUGAAAUGCGUAGAGAUCCGGAGGAACACCAGAGGCGAAGGCGGCCUACUGGGCUGCACCUGACGCUGAGCCGCGAAAGCCAGGGGAGCGAACGGG
RNAcentral lists this ribosomal RNA (253 nucleotides) under uncultured prokaryote. RNAcentral describes it as "partial 16S ribosomal RNA". It matches the Rfam family "Bacterial small subunit ribosomal RNA", at positions 524 to 776 of the family's 1533-position model. The record is from RNAcentral.